CCUACGGGAGGCAGCAGUGGGGAAUUUUCCGCAAUGGGCGAAAGCCUGACGGAGCAAUACCGCGUGAGGGAGGAAGGCUCUUGGGUUGUAAACCUCUUUUUCAGGGAAGAUAAUGACGGUACCUGAGGAAUAAGCAUCGGCUAACUCCGUGCCAGCAGCCGCGGUAAUACGGAGGAUGCAAGCGUUAUCCGGAAUGAUUGGGCGUAAAGCGUCCGCAGGUGGUUUUAAAAGUCUGUUGUUAAAGCGUGAGGCUUAACCUCAUAAGGGCAAUGGAAACUGUAAGACUAGAGUACGUUCGGGGCAAGGGGAAUUCCCAGUGUAGCGGUGAAAUGCGUAGAGAUUGGGAAGAACACCGGUGGCGAAAGCGCCUUGCUAGGCCGUAACUGACACUGAGGGACGAAAGCUAGGGGAGCGAAUGGGAUUAGAUACCCCAGUAGUCCUAGCCGUAAACGAUGGAUACUAGGCGUUGUCUGUAUCGUACCGGACCGACGUGCGUACGACGUACGUACGUAACGUACUACCGUCCGUCGGGUAGGUACGCGACGCAGUAGUGUAACGUACAAGAAGUAGUACGGCGUGAGACGUGCCGAACGGAACGACCGACCGAGGGGAGGUAGG
Molecule: ribosomal RNA, 618 nt
Filed under: uncultured bacterium
Lineage: Bacteria
Description: bacterial SSU rRNA
Rfam family: Bacterial small subunit ribosomal RNA (bases 1-525)
Source: RNAcentral